GUGGUGUUAGGACACGAAGCAUAGCGGCUACGGUGGGCAGACUAAGCUGAUUUUCCGGGAAAAGGCUAGAACUACGAAGAAGCUUGUGCUGAGGCUUGAGUGCGUUGAGCAUAGGUGCAGAUGUAAGAGGAUGCUGGAUAUAAAGAGAUGUGAGCAUUCUGAACUGGGAGGACAGAAGAGGAGGAAGGGCCAAGACAUCCAAUUCUAA
This 208-nucleotide long non-coding RNA is filed under the name Homo sapiens (human). RNAcentral's name for it is "non-protein coding lnc-MNX1-9:1". Lineage: Eukaryota; Metazoa; Chordata; Mammalia; Primates; Hominidae. The record is from RNAcentral.